Molecule: ribosomal RNA, 266 nt
Filed under: uncultured bacterium
Lineage: Bacteria
Description: partial 16S ribosomal RNA
Rfam family: Bacterial small subunit ribosomal RNA
Source: RNAcentral
UACAAUGGCAGGUACAGAGGGAUGCUACCGGGCGACCGGAUGCGGAUCUCGAAAGCCUGUCCCAGUUCGGACUGGAGUCUGCAACCCGGCUCCACGAAGUUGGAUUCGCUAGUAAUCGCGCAUCAGCCAUGGCGCGGUGAAUACGUUCCCGGGCCUUGUACACACCGCCCGUCAAGCCAUGGGAGCCGGGGGCGCCUGAAGUCCGGGACCGCGAGGACCGGCCUAGGGCGAAACUGGUAACUGGGGCUAAGUCGUAACAAGGUAGC